UUCGCAAUGCCCGAAAGGGUGACGAAGCGACGCCGCGUGGGUGAGGAAGGCCUUCGGGUUGUAAAGCCCUGUCAGGAGUUAAGAAAUGUAGAUUCGCUAAUAUCGGGUCUAUUUGACAAAGGCUCCAAAGGAAGCCACGGCUAACUCUGUGCCAGCAGCCGCGGUAAUACAGAGGUGGCAAGCGUUGUUCGGAAUUAUUGGGCGUAAAGAGCACGUAGGUGGGUUUGUAAGUCAGAUGUGAAAGCCUUCUGUUCAACGGAAGAAUUGCAUCUGAAACUGCGAGUCUUGAGUGUAGGAGGGGAGAAUGGAGCUUCUGGUGGAGCGGUGAAAUGCGUAGAUAUCAGAGGGAACGCCGGCGGCGAAAGCGAUUCUCUGGCCUAUUACUGACACUGAGUGUGCGAAAGCUAGGGGAGCAAACGGGAUUAGAUACCCCGGUAGUCCUAGCCGUAAACGAUGGGCACUAAGUAGAGGGGUUUU
This 477-nucleotide ribosomal RNA is filed under the name Candidatus Scalindua brodae. Its description in RNAcentral is "bacterial SSU rRNA". It matches the Rfam family "Bacterial small subunit ribosomal RNA", at positions 365 to 832 of the family's 1533-position model. The record is from RNAcentral. Lineage: Bacteria; Pseudomonadati; Planctomycetota; Candidatus Brocadiia; Candidatus Brocadiales; Candidatus Scalinduaceae.